GAUCAUGGCUCAGGAUGAACGCUAGCUACAGGCUUAACACAUGCAAGUCGAGGGGCAGCAUGGUCCUAGCUUGCUAAGGCCGAUGGCGACCGGCGCACGGGUGAGUAACACGUAUCCAACCUGCCGUCUACUCUUGGACAGCCUUCUGAAAGGAAGAUUAAUACAAGAUGGCAUCAUGAGUCCGCAUGUCCACAUGAUUAAAGGUAUUCCGGUAGACGAUGGGGA
This 225-nucleotide ribosomal RNA is filed under the name uncultured bacterium. RNAcentral's name for it is "partial 16S ribosomal RNA". It matches the Rfam family "Bacterial small subunit ribosomal RNA", at positions 15 to 231 of the family's 1533-position model. The record is from RNAcentral.